Molecule: ribosomal RNA, 164 nt
Filed under: Symbiodinium sp. ex Porites densa
Lineage: Eukaryota; Dinophyceae; Suessiales; Symbiodiniaceae
Description: partial 18S ribosomal RNA
Rfam family: Eukaryotic small subunit ribosomal RNA
Source: RNAcentral
UUCCUCAAGUUGGCUAUUUAUUAAAAAUCCCCGGGGAAAAUUUUUUGGCUGACGCAGUGCUCAGCUUCUGGACGUUGCGUCGGAAAGUUUCAUGAACCUUAUCACUUAGAGGAAGGAGAAGUCGUAACAAGGUUUCCGUAGGUGAACCUGCGGAAGGAUCAUUC